Molecule: ribosomal RNA, 799 nt
Filed under: Cyzicus tetracerus
Lineage: Eukaryota; Metazoa; Arthropoda; Branchiopoda; Diplostraca; Cyzicidae
Description: partial large subunit ribosomal RNA
Rfam family: Eukaryotic large subunit ribosomal RNA
Source: RNAcentral
GGAAGCCCAGCACCGAACCUCGCACCUUCGGGUGUCGCGGAAUGUGGUGUUUAGGANGACCGUGCGCGUCUGUCCGGUAUCGUCCAAGUCUCCAUGAAUGGGGCCAGCAACCCAGAGAGGGUGUCAGGCCCGUGGGACGAGCCGCGACCGUGUAUUGGGUCUCUCCUUAGAGUCGGGUUGCUUGAGAGUGCAGCCCUAAGCGGGAGGUAAACUCCUUCUAAGGCUAAAUACGGCCACGAGACCGAUAGCGAACAAGUACCGCGAGGGAAAGUUGAAAAGAACUUUGAAGAGAGAGUUCAAUAGUGCGUGAAACCGUUCAGGGGGUUAAACGGGUGGGCCCUCGAAGGUCGAACGCUCCCUACUCCUGUUCCUGUAGGCUGGCACGUGCUGCUUUCCGAUCUCGCUACGAGACGGGGCUUGGUGUGGUAUGCCGGACUGCAGGGGCCGCUAGUUAGGGGGCCAGUAGGACUCCGCAACCGUCUGGGUAAGUCGUCAGAAGGGUUCUGGAGGAAGCCUCCUCUGGGGGUGAAAUCCGGGAUUCCGGGCGAUCUUCCCGGCCGUGAACCAGAAUUCCCCCGUCUGGCGUCUGGGACGAGUUUGCUGCGUCAAAAACAGUGAGCUGUCGGUUCUGGGCGUCACCGUGGGGACACCGCGGAGAGUAGAGUCGGGUCCCACCCGACCCGUCUUGAAACACGGACCAAGGAGUCUAACAUGUGCGCGAGUCGUCGGGUACUAUUAAACCCGAAGGCGCAAUGAAAGUGAAGACUGUGCCUCGUCGCCGGUCUAGGGGAGAUCCCGU